Long non-coding RNA from Acanthopagrus latus (yellowfin seabream), 406 nucleotides. RefSeq lists it as uncharacterized. The transcript is spliced from 3 exons. The record is from RefSeq and is a predicted model, not a curated record. Lineage: Eukaryota; Metazoa; Chordata; Actinopteri; Spariformes; Sparidae.
GGAGCAUCAGGACUGAGGUAAAGAUACAGAACAGGAGAGCAGGAGAUGCAUGACAACAACAGACCAAUUGAAACGAGAAAGAGAAAAACAGGCUUAAUUAGACAGGUGGACAAAAAUGUCUUCUUCCUCUGCGUGCAGGCCGACUGUGGUGGGACAUUCAAGCCUAACCAUGAGCAAGAGCACUUAAGAAAUGAAGAGCUUCAGAGGGGAGAGUACCUGAUGUCCAACGAUGGGAGGUGGAAGGCCGUUCUCCAGAUUUCUUUGUAUUGUGGAAGGAUGAUGGUAACUUUGUCCUCUAUGAUGACGGCAGAGCUGUGUGGGCUUCUAACACUCACGGGUCAGAUGGUUAUCGCCUGUGCAUGCAGCCCGACUGCAACCUGGUCAUUUACAACAGGGGUAACGUUCC